CAGAGACCUCCUCCAACUUUAUAGAUACUAACAUCCCUCUUGCAAGUGGUUACUCUACAGGGAAGAUUGUGGACCCAGUAGAAGUAAAGAUUCAAGUUUCUGCCUAAUAUAUGGAAGCGAUUUGCCUGGGUUAAAUAUAUUUUAAUCCACUCAUUUGAAGUUUACAAGCAUUUCAAUAUGUCAUUAUAGAAAGCCUGUACACAAAUUUCCAAAGACAAAAAGUGACAGCAGCACAAAUGUGGUUUUGGGAACAUAUCAUGAUGACAGAACUGGAUGACUGUGGGGAACAGGCAAGGGCAGCUGUUAGGUGUGAAUGUGACACUCAACACUCAGAUGCUUGCAGUUCACAAUUUGCUUUUAUCAGAAUCAGCAACCUCACAACUGCCAUUCUGCGUUAACUCCAGCCUGCCCCCGGCAGACCUGCAUUAACCUUUGCUUAUGGAGCCACGGCAGGACUCAAGCAAAUAAAAAAAUAUAACAUGUCAGAUUCGCCACUGGUGUAAAUCAGCAUCUCUGCACAGACUUUGAAGGAGCAGCACCUGCUCGCUCAAGCUGAGGAUCUUGCCCCGUGCCACUAUAGCAUCAUUAAGUUGUCACAUUCUUCCCCUGCCUCUCCUUUUGUCGUCUAGCUGCAACUUUUCUGUGUUGAAGACUAGAGUAGGGUCUUUGAUCCUCCGAUAACUCCUUGAGGCUCCCUCUGUCCCUAAGAUAAUUGGCCGGGACAUUUCCUGAGUUAUCCAGGGUCAUCUUAUCUGCCCUUUUACUUGGAGAGGGAUUACAGGCAAGAGAAAAGUCUUGGAGCCUUCACAGAUGCAGAUGACCUACACGAGUGCUGCCGUGUGUAGUAGGUCAGGCACCCCUCCUGACACAAGGGACACCCCAUUGCUUAACCUAUCCUGAUACUGAUGUGGAAACAGAAACCCUUCAGGGUGGCAGCACUCCUGACAAAGCAAGACUGUGUACCACUUCUGUCCCAGCUUACUGGGCAAGCUGGAAAAGGAAAGAGGAUGAGCUGCUUUUCUGCUUAUCAAGGUAUUUACACACUACAAUCAAGCAAGCUCACAACAUUCUUCAAAGUUCUCAGGAGAGUAAGCAGCUUGUCCAUGUCUCCAGCGCCCAAAUUCCCACCCACCAUCCCUAGGUGGGUCCAGAUUUUGUUUAGGAGAUCAUGGAGUGAGAACACAGGAACAGUGAUCUGAAUGGAACUCACUGCAUACGGUCAUAAGAAGGUAAGAGUUGGGUAGGAGCAAAUUGUGAAAAUUGUAACUGAUAGGAGAGGAAAAAAGAAAAGACAACAAAAGUAUCUUAAAAGCUCUGCUUUGUGUCCAUUGUCAUUACAAAUAUUAAGUAGCCCAUUG
Molecule: long non-coding RNA, 1358 nt
Filed under: Anser brachyrhynchus (Pink-footed goose)
Lineage: Eukaryota; Metazoa; Chordata; Aves; Anseriformes; Anatidae
Description: lncRNA (ENSABRG00000015901.1)
Source: RNAcentral